This 704-nucleotide long non-coding RNA is filed under the name Capra hircus (goat). RNAcentral's name for it is "lncRNA (ENSCHIG00010025655.1)". Lineage: Eukaryota; Metazoa; Chordata; Mammalia; Artiodactyla; Bovidae. The record is from RNAcentral.
AAUCUACUUUUUCUGAUACUAAUAUAAUCACAACAGUUUUUAUUUGGUGAAUUUUUGCAUGGUAAAUCUUUUCCCAUCCAUUUACUUGUAUAUUAGAGAGUUUAUUGUUGCCAUUGUUUCAGUAAAUGUCUAAGUUUAUGAGAUUCUUCCAAACUGGUUUUCAGAAUGGCUGUAACAUUUUGCAUUCUCUUGCCUUACAGUUUGCAUCAUUAUUUUAGUGAGAAGGAUUUGAAAUUAACUCGAUCUGUCUGUCAUAAACACGUGCAUUUUAAGUUACAGUGAAAGAUACUGACUUUGGAAAUGAGAGAGAUGAUACCUUCAUAGUAUCCAGUGUGGAGGGUCACAGGAUCAAGGCUUCUCAAGUUCGUGUCUGCUUAUGGAGAUGUAUUGCUUUACAGCUUCAGAAGUAGGAGUCAGAAGACCUGAGUUCUAGCCUCAAAACAGUCACAUUCACAUUCCAUGUCACUGAGCAAAGCGCUUCAGCUCUCAAAGAUCAGCUGGCAGAUUCCACCAAACAUUGACAUCCGUGACCCUGAUUCUUGCGGCUGAGUUCAAGUUUCCUCACUGUGCAAUGAAGUCCUUGAACCUCUUUCUAUUCAGGCUGCUCAUGAUGCUUUCAUGCCUGAUGCGUCCCCCACGAAUGAAGAGGGAAGCACAGAUCACGUGAUGGUCACAGAUCUUCACUCUUCCUCCUGAAGCUGCCU